CGAAGUAGGAAUUUAUACGUUAAGUGUUCAUAGGCUGGGGAGUCGCCAUGAAACGAAAAGCUCGCAUACACGAACUGGCAGCUUGCGAUAUAUUUUCCGCACCCGUUG
This 108-nucleotide non-coding RNA is filed under the name uncultured Blautia sp. RNAcentral's name for it is "THF riboswitch". It matches the Rfam family "THF (Tetrahydrofolate) riboswitch aptamer". Rfam says of the family: THF riboswitch presents a pseudoknot that joins P1-P2 and the loop of P3 and two THF binding. Lineage: Bacteria; Bacillati; Bacillota; Clostridia; Lachnospirales; Lachnospiraceae. The record is from RNAcentral.